AAGAAUGAUAAUUAUUCAGUUACGUUGAAGAAAACCUAGUGGCAUUCUUU
This 50-nucleotide transfer RNA is filed under the name Pseudoniphargus ruffoi. RNAcentral's name for it is "tRNA-Val". Lineage: Eukaryota; Metazoa; Arthropoda; Malacostraca; Amphipoda; Allocrangonyctidae. The record is from RNAcentral.